Dermacentor andersoni is the source of this 3038-nucleotide long non-coding RNA. RefSeq lists it as uncharacterized. The record is from RefSeq and is a predicted model, not a curated record. Lineage: Eukaryota; Metazoa; Arthropoda; Arachnida; Ixodida; Ixodidae.
GAUAAUACCAAACGACACAGUAAAAAUGCAAACAAAGAACUGAUCUUCGCUAUACUGUUUGGGGAAAAGAAAUAAAAAAUUAGACAGCCGCAACACACGCCACUAAAGCCACCACCGCCGGCAUAACGCGGAACCAACAGUUGGCAACAUUCAUUCGCGCUUCAUUGUCCGCUUCGUCUCCGCAACGAGAGCCGCCAUCCUUUCGCGCCGGCCGUAUUGUCAUAGUUUUGUUUUUCUGCAAGUCCGCGCACGCAGCUCAUCGGUAGAUGCACGGGUGCACGGCGUCGCAUUGCGACCUGCGGCAUUUUCUCGUGUUCGCGCAAUCGGUGUGAAACAUGUCGCAUGUGAAAUAUUUGAUAGAAGUGCCUCACGUCCAAGUCAAGCCGCCGUACGGGUGUAAGCCUGUGUGCCCCGUUCUCGGAAGCGUCGACGGGUUUCCGGCAUGCGGAUUUCAGCGUUUGGACUCGACUUUUGGUGAGGAUGUCGAUCGACCUUGGGCCUGGUGACAGCACACCCGACAUGGCCAAAGUGCAGCCUAUCAGUUGAGUGCCCCCGAAUGGACCAUCAACAUCGGAAAAUGAAACAGAGCCAGGGGGAAAAGGUUCCGGUAACACCAUGCAUUCAGUAUGGUGGCCCAGACGUGUAUGCAAGCAAUCUCCUUCAUGUGGACCAAGAACUACUCUGCAGUGUCUCGCAGACUUCCGUGCGAAGUCCUCAACAUUCUCGUCUCAGUGGAAUGGCUGCUCAUCUAUCUGCGUGUCCAUCACCAAGACGGCCAGUUGUAAAGCUCCUGUACCCGUUUAAGAAAGCUUAAUGAUUUUUUAAUUUAGUUUUCACGGUUGGCCGUAGAAUCUUAACAUUUUUUAUGUUUAUAACAUUUUUACCUGGCACAAAGUGGUGCAAUAACUUUAAACCAGUGUAAUGUAUUUAAGUGAUGCUCGCUCUAAUGCCUAUCUGGUUUUGUUAGUGUUUAAGAAAUUUGUAUGUCUGAUGAGGUAAGAGCAUUUGAAUUUGUCAUCAUGGCUCGUUUCAAUGAGCUGCUAGGAAAAAAGUCGCAAAACUUAUCACACGCCAGUUGUAGCAUUUUUGUUUUCAUGAUUAUAGUAUACACGUUUCAAAAGAUGGAAAGUGGGCAAGAAAACCUGAAGAACAUAAUCAUUCUAGGAUUGUCAUGUCCUUACAACUCUGCAAUGAUAAUGCCUCAUACAUCUUGGGAACACAUUGGUCACAAUGCCUACAGGUAUACUUGAUAAGAGAAUAGCUUGCACCCAGAUUUGCCACACAGUUGAUGGCUAAUGGCUUUUGUUUGUCGUCUUCGUGUUACUACUAUGUAUUCAAUAUUCAUUUAGAUGUAAAGGACACUAGAGGCACUGAAGUACCAAAUGGCACUUGCAUUUCAGGGGACAAAGUGCCCAGCAUGCCUGUCACAAAACGUGUUCUAGGGGCUAGCUUGCCUCUAUAGGUAAAUGGAUACCAGAUGCUCUGUGCACAGUGUAAUCGGUGUACUUGUCUGGAGUGCUUGAAAGAUGUGCUACGGGCUGUACUGGCACUGUCUGAAGAUAAUGCAUGGUUCUAGAAAGGCUGCAGCUGAGCAUCUGCCACCAUACUGAAGGAACUGUCCUAAUUUUGUUGAUGUUGAAAUGUAGGAGCUGCAAUGAAUAGUUGUGAAUGUGGCAGUGCUGCCAAACUAAAGCACAAAUUACACACCUCGACUCACACAAUGCACUCUGAAAGUUUUGCUACGUGGUAUCUGUGUUUGCUGCCUGACCUUAUGGCACCUUUACGAGCAAUCGCAGGUGAUUGCAGCUGCUGAGGCUUUAUCAACUGGCAAGUUGAAAAAAUAAUGCUGUGCCACCAGUGUGGCUGCACAUUCCGAGAUGCAAGCUAUCUUGAACCAGGUGUUCGGUAGACAGUACCUGUGCAGCCAAAACAUGGUGUUUGAGCCCUAUAGGCAACUACGUUCACAACUGCCCACAAGUGUGCUGUCGGAACAGAAAGUUGAGAACAAGCAGCAUUUUUACCGGGGUUCAAACAUUAGUGCAAGUCAUUCUUUCACCAAGGCUGGUAAUCAUGCAUAUGUAAUGAGAACAGGGCAUUUGUUACACACAAGGCGUCAUGUGUCAAGUUUAAUUAGAUCAGUAAUCUAUGAGAUGGAAUUAUAAAAAGUGUACCUUUCGUUCCUCAGUGGUCUCUUUGAGAGAUGACCAUUUCCGGCAAUUUAGUUUUGCCUUCUUAUGUCUAGAUUUGGUGUGCAUAUUGCAACUAUAACUAACAGUCAGUGCUCUGUCCUGCCCAGUUUUUAUGCUGCUUUUGUGAUAUUUGCAAUAUUUUGCAGUUCAGCUGCAAAAUAUUGUCUAUAGUAUUAUAUAUUGUCUAUGCAAGUAUAUGUCUUUACUAUUACUAGUUUUCAUGUUCAUUAGCGACUUACAUUAGCCAUGCUUCUUUGUCUCUGUUAGGAUGCGAAUUUCAGUAUCUUCAGAACACGUGUGUUAAUCUGAAGUAGUCUUUUUGUUGUUUCCUUUUUUACUUCCUUACUUCCUGAUAUGUUUAACUGAUGUCUUCAUACCUUGUCAUGUUCUUACGCUGCGGUUUUUUGCAGUCACCUAUGUAUAUAUAUAUGUUCUUCGUUUCAAUAAAAAUUUAGUUGAGAGUUAGCGCUCAUCCUGGUCUGCUUCUAGUCUGUGUACGUGUCACUUCGCGCUACAAUCCAAGAUCAUGUUACUGUACCAACUCGCCCAACUUUCUGUCCUUGCGUUGACAUAGACACACUCAGACUUGUUCUUACUUAUGUGACCGGUUAUUUUUGUACUUUAUAAGAUUCAGUGCUUUUCGGAUGAAAACAUGUGAUAAUUCGUAGUGAGAUUAUUUAAAAAAAACUUUUCUGCUUAAAAUUUAUUUGAACAAGCCUGUGCCAUUAUUCGGUGCUUGUCUUUGUAUUGGUAUGGUUUUACUCCUUAUCUUCCUUUUUACUUUUAAAAUGUGCAAACAUUAUUAUGUAAGCAUUUCUCUUUAAUGAAAUAAAUACUUUUCUUAUGACA